UCUGAAUCUGCGNACGGCUCCGCAAACCAGUUGUAAACUACAGCAAGCAAGCACGGGGGGUUGGCCUUCACGGGUCGGUCCCUCGGGCGAUAUGGAUAACCCUGGUAAUUCUGAGGCUAAUACAAGAACGUAACCCCUGGUUGACUGAGCCCUCGCCCUCGGGUGGGGAUACUUGGGAGGCUGGGAAGCGUGCGAGUACUAAUGCGAAUGAGAACCGGGAAUGGGCGCACGCUUGGACCGCGCUAUAAAGGAUCAUUACUCGGCAAUCCCUCCGGGGUGCGCUUUGUUUUGGCCCUAGCGGCUCUUGCGGUGUGCUUCUGACCUAUCAACUAGACGGCAGCGUAACGGACAUGCUAUGGUACAACGGGUACAG
RNAcentral lists this ribosomal RNA (373 nucleotides) under uncultured myxomycete. RNAcentral's name for it is "bacterial SSU rRNA". It matches the Rfam family "Eukaryotic small subunit ribosomal RNA", at positions 80 to 365 of the family's 1831-position model. The record is from RNAcentral. Lineage: Eukaryota; Evosea; Eumycetozoa.